This 518-nucleotide ribosomal RNA is filed under the name uncultured bacterium. RNAcentral describes it as "bacterial SSU rRNA". It matches the Rfam family "Bacterial small subunit ribosomal RNA", at positions 8 to 518 of the family's 1533-position model. The record is from RNAcentral.
AGAGUUUGAUUAUGGCUCAGGAUGAACGCUAGCGGCAGGCUUAACACAUGCAAGUCGAGGGGCAGCGGGAUGUAGCAAUACAUUGCCGGCGACCGGCGGAUGGGUGCGUAACGCGUAUGCAACCUACCUUAUACAGGGGAAUAACCUUUCGAAAGGGAGACUAACACCCCAUAGUAUUGAUUUAAGGCAUCUUAGAUUAAUUAAAUAUUUAUAGGUAUAAGAUGGGCAUACGUAUGAUUAGCUAGUUGGUAAGGUAACGGCUUACCAAGGCGACGAUCAUUAGGGGUUCUGAGAGGAAGGUCCCCCACACUGGUACUGAGACACGGACCAGACUCCUACGGGAGGCAGCAGUGAGGAAUAUUGGUCAAUGGGCGCAAGCCUGAACCAGCCAUGCCGCGUGCCAGGAAGACGGCCUUAUGGGUUGUAAACUGCUUUUACAUAAGACUAACCGUAUAUUUGCGAAUAUACCUGAAUGUAUUAUGAGAAUAAGGAUCGGCUAACUCCGUGCCAGCAGCCGC